AUUGAACGCUGGCGGCAUGCCUAACACAUGCAAGUCGAACGGAGCGGCGGACGGGUGAGUAAUGUCUAGGAAUCUGCCUAGUAGCGGGGGAUAACUUCGCGAAAGCGGCGCUAAUACCGCAUACUAUUAGAGCAGCCUAGGUCGGAUUAGCUAGUUGGUGGGGUAAAGGCCUACCAAGGCGACGAUCCGUAACUGGUUUGAGAGGAUGAUCAGUCACACUGGAACUGAGACACGGUCCAGACUCCUACGGGAGGCAGCAGUGGGGAAUAUUGGACAAUGGGCGAAAGCCUGAGCCAGCCAUGCCGCGUGUGUGAAGAAGGUCUUCGGAUUGUAAAGCACUUUUAGCUGGGAGGCGUUACCAACAGAAUAAGCACCGGCUAACUUCGUGCCAGCAGCCGCGGUAAUUC
Molecule: ribosomal RNA, 407 nt
Filed under: uncultured bacterium
Lineage: Bacteria
Description: partial 16S ribosomal RNA
Rfam family: Bacterial small subunit ribosomal RNA
Source: RNAcentral